GAUGAACGCUAGCUACAGGCUUAACACAUGCAAGUCGAGGGGCAGCAUGGUCUUAGCUUGCUAAGGCCGAUGGCGACCGGCGCACGGGUGAGUAACACGUAUCCAACCUGCCGUCUACUCUUGGACAGCCUUCUGAAAGGAAGAUUAAUACAAGAUGGCAUCAUGAGUCCGCAUGUUCACAUGAUUAAAGGUAUUCCGGUAGACGAUGGGGAUGCGUUCCAUUAGAUAGUAGGCGGGGUAACGGCCCACCUAGUCUUCGAUGGAUAGGGGUUCUGAGAGGAAGGUCCCCCACAUUGGAACUGAGACACGGUCCAAACUCCUACGGGAGGCAGCAGUGAGGAAUAUUGGUCAAUGGGCGAGAGCCUGAACCAGCCAAGUAGCGUGAAGGAUGACUGCCCUAUGGGUUGUAAACUUCUUUUAUAAAGGAAUAAAGUCGGGUAUGGAUACCCGUUUGCAUGUACUUUAUGAAUAAGGAUCGGCUAACUCCGUGCCAGCAGCCGCGGUAAUACGGAGGAUCCGAGCGUUAUCCGGAUUUAUUGGGUUUAAAGGGAGCGUAGAUGGAUAUUUAAGUCAGUUGUGAAAGUUUGCGGCUCAACCGUAAAAUUGCAGUUGAUACUGGAUAUCUUGAGUGCAGUUGAGGCAGGCGGAAUUCGUGGUGUAGCGGUGAAAUGCUUAGAUAUCACGAAGAACUCCGAUUGCGAAGGCAGCCUGCUAAGCUGCA
This 721-nucleotide ribosomal RNA is filed under the name uncultured Bacteroidales bacterium. RNAcentral's name for it is "bacterial SSU rRNA". It matches the Rfam family "Bacterial small subunit ribosomal RNA", at positions 28 to 738 of the family's 1533-position model. Lineage: Bacteria; Pseudomonadati; Bacteroidota; Bacteroidia; Bacteroidales. The record is from RNAcentral.